This 1346-nucleotide ribosomal RNA is filed under the name uncultured bacterium. RNAcentral describes it as "partial 16S ribosomal RNA". It matches the Rfam family "Bacterial small subunit ribosomal RNA", at positions 28 to 1381 of the family's 1533-position model. The record is from RNAcentral.
GACGAACGCUGGCGGCGUGCUUAACACAUGCAAGUCGAACGGAAAGGCCCUGCUUUUGUGGGGUGCUCGAGUGGCGAACGGGUGAGUAACACGUGAGUAACCUGCCCUUGACUUUGGGAUAACUUCAGGAAACUGGGGCUAAUACCGGAUAGGAGCUCCUGCUGCAUGGUGGGGGUUGGAAAGUUUCGGCGGUUGGGGAUGGACUCGCGGCUUAUCAGCUUGUUGGUGGGGUAGUGGCUUACCAAGGCUUUGACGGGUAGCCGGCCUGAGAGGGUGACCGGCCACAUUGGGACUGAGAUACGGCCCAGACUCCUACGGGAGGCAGCAGUGGGGAAUAUUGCACAAUGGGCGGAAGCCUGAUGCAGCAACGCCGCGUGCGGGAUGACGGCCUUCGGGUUGUAAACCGCUUUCGCCUGUGACGAAGCGUGAGUGACGGUAAUGGGUAAAGAAGCACCGGCUAACUACGUGCCAGCAGCCGCGGUGAUACGUAGGGUGCGAGCGUUGUCCGGAUUUAUUGGGCGUAAAGGGCUCGUAGGUGGUUGAUCGCGUCGGAAGUGUAAUCUUGGGGCUUAACCCUGAGCGUGCUUUCGAUACGGGUUGACUUGAGGAAGGUAGGGGAGAAUGGAAUUCCUGGUGGAGCGGUGGAAUGCGCAGAUAUCAGGAGGAACACCAGUGGCGAAGGCGGUUCUCUGGGCCUUUCCUGACGCUGAGGAGCGAAAGCGUGGGGAGCGAACAGGCUUAGAUACCCUGGUAGUCCACGCUGUAAACGGUGGGUACUAGGUGUGGGGUCCAUUCCACGGGUUCCGUGCCGUAGCUAACGCUUUAAGUACCCCGCCUGGGGAGUACGGCCGCAAGGCUAAAACUCAAAGGAAUUGACGGGGCCCCGCACAAGCGGCGGAGCAUGCGGAUUAAUUCGAUGCAACGCGUAGAACCUUACCUGGGUUUGACAUGGAUCGGGAGUGCUCAGAGAUGGGUGUGCCUCUUUUGGGGUCGGUUCACAGGUGGUGCAUGGCUGUCGUCAGCUCGUGUCGUGAGAUGUUGGGUUAAGUCCCGCAACGAGCGCAACCCUUGUUCACUGUUGCCAGCACGUUAUGGUGGGGACUCAGUGGAGACCGCCGGGGUCAACUCGGAGGAAGGUGGGGAUGACGUCAAGUCAUCAUGCCCCCUAUGUCCAGGGCUUCACGCAUGCUACAAUGGCUGGUACAGAGAGUGGCGAGCCUGUGAGGGUGAGCGAAUCCCGGAAAGCCGGUCUCAGUUCGGAUUGGGGUCUGCAACUCGACCUCAUGAAGUCAGAGUCGCUAGUAAUCGCAGAUCAGCAACGCUGCGGUGAAUACGUUCCCGGGGCU